This is a long non-coding RNA of Prionailurus viverrinus (fishing cat), 441 nucleotides long. RefSeq lists it as uncharacterized. Lineage: Eukaryota; Metazoa; Chordata; Mammalia; Carnivora; Felidae. The record is from RefSeq and is a predicted model, not a curated record. The transcript is spliced from 3 exons.
GUGUAAGGGGGCAGGCUCGAUGCUUACAUUCACGUCCACGAGCUCAACUUUUCCCCUCCUAGGCCUCCCCAGGGGCAGGGUUUUAUCAUUCCAUCUUUUCUGAUUUAAGAAGCAAGCCAGCACCUGAGGGACGUGGAGAAGGUCUGCUGUGCAGCAUCACAUGGGGCUUUUCCAACCCCCCAGCCCCCCAACGUGUGUGACCACUUGUCUUUUGUUGGUUUUCCAACCCCUGGAAAGUGUCUCCUUACCACGGUCUUCUGGAGCCCACACUGGUUUCCACUUGCCUGAGGAUGACGCGAAGACUGAGUGGCCCCACGGCCCACCACAGGUCACACGUGUGAAAUGAGGGUCUGCUUUGCCUUUAUUUGCCAGUGGGGUCCCCACUCACUGGUCCUGUCUCCUUAAGGGAGUGGACCCUCCUCUCCCUUUUCCUGCCUUUCU